RNAcentral lists this ribosomal RNA (393 nucleotides) under uncultured bacterium. RNAcentral describes it as "partial 16S ribosomal RNA". It matches the Rfam family "Bacterial small subunit ribosomal RNA", at positions 523 to 918 of the family's 1533-position model. The record is from RNAcentral.
AUACGGAAGGUCCGGGCGUUAUCCGGAUUUAUUGGGUUUAAAGGGAGCGCAGGCGGAGAUGCAAGCGUGACGUCAAAUUUCGGGGCUCAACCCCGUCUCGCGUCGCGAACUGCGUCCCUUGGUUGCGGGAAGGGGAGGCGGAACUCGGGGUGUAGCGGUGAAAUGCAUAGAUAUCACGAAGAACUCCGAUCGCGAAGGCAGCCUUCCGGCCCGUCAACGACGCUCAUGCUCGAAGGUGCGGGUAUCAAACAGGAUUAGAUACCCUGGUAGUCCGCACAGUAAACGAUGGACACCCGCGGUUUGGCCUGUAUGGCUGAGCCGCCAAGCGAAAGCGUUAAGUGUCCCACCUGGGGAGUACGCCGGCAACGGUGAAACUCAAAUGAAUCGACGGGG